This 484-nucleotide ribosomal RNA is filed under the name uncultured bacterium. Its description in RNAcentral is "partial 16S ribosomal RNA". It matches the Rfam family "Bacterial small subunit ribosomal RNA", at positions 30 to 507 of the family's 1533-position model. The record is from RNAcentral.
AUUGAACGCUGGCGGAAUGCUUUACACAUGCAAGUCGAGCGGCAGCACGGGGGCAACCCUGGUGGCGAGCGGAGAACGGGUGAGUAAUACAUCGGAACAUGCCCAGUCGUGGGGGAUAACACUUCGAAAGAAGUGCUAAUACCGCAUACGUCCAGAGGGGGAAAGCGGGGGAUCGCAAGACCUCGCGCGAUUGGAGUGGCCGAUGUCAGAUUAGCUAGUUGGUGGGGUAAAGGCCUACCAAGGCAACGAUCUGUAGCUGGUCUGAGAGGAUGAUCAGCCACCCUGGAACUGGGACACGGCCCAGACUCCUACGGGAGGCAGCAGUGGGGAAUUUUGGACAAUGGGGGCAACCCUGAUCCAGCCAUCCCGCGUGAGAGAAGAAGGCCUUCGGGUUGUAAAGCUCUUUCGGCAGGAACGAAGCGGUGAGCUCUAACAUAGCUUGCUAAUGACGGUACCUUAAGAAGAAGCACCGGCUAACUACGUG